RNAcentral lists this ribosomal RNA (437 nucleotides) under uncultured bacterium. RNAcentral describes it as "partial 16S ribosomal RNA". It matches the Rfam family "Bacterial small subunit ribosomal RNA", at positions 29 to 507 of the family's 1533-position model. The record is from RNAcentral.
AGCGAACGCUGGCGGCAGGCUUAACACAUGCAAGUCGAGCGGGCACCUUUCGGGGUGUCAGCGGCGGACGGGUGAGUAACGCGUGGGAACGUGCCCUCUGGUUCGGAAUAACUCAGGGAAACUUGAGCUAAUACCGGAUACGCCCUUUUGUGGAAAGGCUUGCUGCCGGAGGAUCGGCCCGCGUCUGAUUAGCUAGUUGGUGAGGUAACGGCUCACCAAGGCGACGAUCAGUAGCUGGUCUGAGAGGAUGAUCAGUCACACUGGGACUGAGACACGGCCCAGACUCCUACGGGAGGCAGCAGUGGGGAAUAUUGGACAAUGGGCGCAAGCCUGAUCCAGCCAUGCCGCGUGAGUGAUGAAGGCCUUAGGGUUGUAAAGCUCUUUUAUCCGGGACGAUAAUGACGGUACCGGAGGAAUAAGCCCCGGCUAACUUCGUG